UGGGGAAUAUUGGACAAUGGGCGCAAGCCUGAUCCAGCAACGCCGCGUGGAGGACGAAGGUCUUCGGAUCGUAAACUCCUGUCAGGUGGGACGAAGGUUCGGGGGCAAAUAGUUCUCGAGCUUGACGGUACCACCAGAGGAAGCCCCGGCUAACUCCGUGCCAGCAGCCGCGGUAAUACGGAGGGGGCGAGCGUUAUUCGGAAUUAUUGGGCGUAAAGGGCGCGUAGGCGGCCUUGUAAGUCAAAGGUGAAAUCCCUCGGCUCAACUGAGGAACUGCCUUUGAAACUGCAAGGCUUGAGGCCGGGAGGGGGUAGCGGAAUUCCCAAUGUAGCGGUGAAAUGCGUAGAUAUUGGGAGGAACACCAGUGGCGAAGGGGCUACCUGGACCGGUUCUGACGCUGAGGCGCGAAAGCGUGGGUAGCAAACAGGAUUAGAUACCCUGGUAGUCCACGCUGUAAACGAUGGGUGCUCGGUGUCGCGGGUAUCGACCCCUGCGGUGCCUUAGCUAACGCGUUAAGCACCCCGCCUGGGGAGUACGGUCGCAA
RNAcentral lists this ribosomal RNA (544 nucleotides) under uncultured bacterium. RNAcentral's name for it is "bacterial SSU rRNA". It matches the Rfam family "Bacterial small subunit ribosomal RNA", at positions 355 to 891 of the family's 1533-position model. The record is from RNAcentral.